Molecule: long non-coding RNA, 915 nt
Organism: Syngnathus acus (greater pipefish)
Lineage: Eukaryota; Metazoa; Chordata; Actinopteri; Syngnathiformes; Syngnathidae
Exons: 3
Source: RefSeq, a predicted model, not a curated record
ACCUGACGGGACCAGCAAACAUUGAAGUAACUACUAAUAAUAUUUGCAGGAACACUUUGACCUACUACGCUACUGUAUUUGAACAUGGAUCAUUCUGGUUGUACUUUGUAUUUUCUUAGCUGGCUCAGUGAGCGUCACUCACAUGACCAUAGCGUGACGCUACGACGCACGCACGCUUUUACAUAUGUUUGCAUAAGUCAGCUUGUCUUACGUGAAAUUCCGGUAGCUCUCCUCGUUCCUCUCCCACGUUUGAGAAUAACGCUUCAACACGUCGUCAAUCAGUUUCCUGCGAGGACACGCAAGUAGAGACACAAAUGCAACAAUUCCUUAAUUAAUUGACAUCUGAUUUUAAUUUGGGAAAACAAUUAUCAACAAUCACAAUGAAUGCAUUUUCUUCACUGUCGAUUUAAAAGGUGAAUGAAUGACAAAGAGUCAACUUGACUCACCUGCAGCCUUUACAAAGCACACUUGGGGAACUUUUCUUCUGAGCGGGAGAACUUGACGCAGCGUCCAGACAAACCUAUGAUCGUCGACCAUGUACCAAGUGAUGCUGGACAACAGGCUGGCUAAACAUAGCAGAGUUAUUGCGGACGAGCCACCCCAAGAAGCCAUCAUCAACAAAGGAGAUGAGGCGCGUCUUUCGCUUGACAUCAUGGAGAAGUACUCUGUGGAAUGGAGAGACAGAGAAAGAAAGGAGGCCUCCUCAAAGCAUCAUUCACCCGCCCCUUCCUUCCUCCAUCAUCAUGUGUGUGCUUGUGAGACAGAAGAGGAAGUCUCUGCGGCGUCAAGAAACAGGAAGUCAGACGAGACACGCCGCGUGCAGGAAAACAAGGUGUCUCGUGUCAUCAAACUUCCUCUGCUUUACUUAAAGCAUAAUCGUGCAUUAUUUUUAUCGUAUGAUAAAUGUGUGUGUCA